Molecule: ribosomal RNA, 642 nt
Filed under: uncultured bacterium
Lineage: Bacteria
Description: bacterial SSU rRNA
Rfam family: Bacterial small subunit ribosomal RNA
Source: RNAcentral
UAAAGGAGAGAUCCGGCAUAGGAUGGACAUGCGUCGCAUUAGGUAGACGGCGGGGUAACGGCCCACCGUGCCGACGAUGCGUAGGGGUUCUGAGAGGAAGGCCCCCCACACUGGUACUGAGACACGGACCAGACUCCUACGGGAGGCAGCAGUGAGGAAUAUUGGUCAAUGGCCGAGAGGCUGAACCAGCCAAGUCGCGUGAGGGAAGAAUGUCCUAAGGAUUGUAAACCUCUUUUGUCGGGGAGCAAAAAGGCUCUGCGGAGUCGUAUUGAGAGUACCCGAAGAAAAAGCAUCGGCUAACUCCGUGCCAGCAGCCGCGGUAAUACGGAGGAUGCGAGCGUUAUCCGGAUUUAUUGGGUUUAAAGGGUGCGCAGGCGGCGUGUCAAGCAAGCGGUAAAAUAGCGGGGCUCAACCCCGUCGAGCCGUUUGAACUGGCGCGCUUGAGUUCAGGCGAGGUAGGCGGAAUUCGUGGUGUAGCGGUGAAAUGCAUAGAUAUCACGAAGAACUCCGAUUGCGAAGGCAGCUUACCAGUCUGCGACUGACGCUCAGGCACGAAAGUGUGGGUAUCGAACAGGAUUAGAUACCCUGGUAGUCCACACAGUAAACGAUGAGCGCUAGGUGUCCGGGUCGCAUGAGACUUGG